CAAUAAUCUGCUGAAAGCACGAAUUCUUCUAACCAGUCCCCUUCCUUAGCACGCCCCAGAUGCGAACAAUGAAGCCCAUGGAGAACAGCGUGGCAGUUUCUGCAUGGUGAAAAGCUGGCAACAUUUGCUUGAAAACAGGCUGGCAGCACUGUGGGAAGGCACUCAUCCAUUGCCCUGACCCAUCCCUGAGGAACCGAGUUCUGAUGGAUACCAUUACAGCAACACGUGCUCUGACACGACGGGACAUGUGGACACGUGCAGGGAGAUAACCCAGGGCUGGGUCGGGUGACUCUGCUGGGAUCACGGAGGUCCAUCAGUGCUCAGCAGCCCAAUGGGCUCUGCCUGCAUCCUAUGGCUGUGCCUCCUGCUGCUGGCCCUGCCCACUCCACAUGCAGGUAUUGCUGUGCCCAGAGCUAACCUUGCUGAGGGGGCAGAUGGCUCUUCCAUCAUCAAAACCAUUGUGACAGUCUACUACUGUAAAGACUGUGGGGAAGAAAAAUGCAAACUAUCCGAUUACGCAGACUUUGAAAUAAUCGUCAAAACAGAAAAUGAGAUGUUUUCAAAUGAAAGUAUUAACCUGAUGAUCAACGAAACGCACAUUACUAUGUGUUUUCUGCAAGAAAACGUGUAUCGUGAUGGAGCUUAUGCCAUCUUCUGGGAGAAGGAUGAGGGAUUAGGAGAACCGUGUGGCAUCCUGAAGUCUGGAGAUUCCCUUGAAGAUAGGAGACACAACAUGGCAGAGAAGGGAAGAGUCUGCUGUGAAACACAGACAGAUCAUACAAACCCUCACAAUAUCCUCAAGUGCUACAUUGGAGAGACAGGUAAUCAUCAAUAUUCAGUCGGUGAAAACAACCAAGCUGGUCUCACUGCCAUGUUCCUGAUUCUGGGGAUUUGUGCAGGAGGAGGACUACUGACCACAUAUUAUUGCAAGAGGCGGUUCCAGAGACGUCAAGGACAUAUCGUAGUGCUCCAGCAGACUUCUCCAGUGAAUGGGGAGACACAGCUGUCUUGA
Molecule: long non-coding RNA, 1012 nt
Filed under: Chrysolophus pictus (golden pheasant)
Lineage: Eukaryota; Metazoa; Chordata; Aves; Galliformes; Phasianidae
Description: lncRNA (ENSCPIG00010008734.1)
Source: RNAcentral